AGAGUCGGGUCCUUACGAUGCCACUUGCAGAAUAUCAUCAAUGAAUCAAGCUUAUUCAAGGCAGAUAAGUCAUUUGCGGGCGCUCGAAACAGAUUUGCCAGAAAAAAAUAAUAUUUGAAAACUUUAAUAACCCAACAUAUGCUCCUAGGUCGAAGGCUGAAAAAAAUAGACAGAGUCGGGUCCUUACGAAGCUACUUGCAGACUUUCGUCACUGGAUUAUACAUAUUCAAGGCACAUAAGUCAUUUGCGGGCGCUCAAAACAGAUUUGCCAGAAAAAAAUAAUAUUUGAAAACUUUAAUAACCUAACAUAUGCUCCUAGGUCGAAGGCUGAAAAAAAUAGUCAGAGUCGGGUCCUUACGAUGCCACUUGCAGAAUAUCAUCAAUGAAUCAAGCUCAUUCAAGGCAGAUAAGUCAUUUGCGGGCGCUCGAAACAGAUUUGCCAGAAAAAAAUAAUAUUUGAAAACUUUAAUAACCCAACAUAUGCUCCUAGGUCGAAGGCUGAAAAAAAUAGUCAGAGUCGGGUCCUUACGAUGCCACUUGCAGAAUAUCAUCACUGAAUCAAGCUUAUUCAAGGCAGAUAAGUCAUUUGCGGGCGCUCGAAACAGAUUUGCCAGAAAAAAAUAUUAUUUGAAAACUUUAAUAACCCAACAUAUGCUCCUAGGUCGAAGGCUGAAAAAAAUAGUCAGAGUCGGGUCCUUACGAUGCCACUUGCAGAAUAUCAU
Molecule: long non-coding RNA, 722 nt
Organism: Cydia pomonella (codling moth)
Lineage: Eukaryota; Metazoa; Arthropoda; Insecta; Lepidoptera; Tortricidae
Exons: 2
Source: RefSeq, a predicted model, not a curated record